Molecule: long non-coding RNA, 934 nt
Filed under: Homo sapiens (human)
Lineage: Eukaryota; Metazoa; Chordata; Mammalia; Primates; Hominidae
Description: HSALNT0393702
Source: RNAcentral
CUCAACAGGAAUUCCAAACCCUAGAACUUGCUUUGGACUCAACACAUCUAACCACUCUUCAGCUGAUAUCCACUUGCUGACAAAUGAAUCUCUCUGGCCCCUGGACUGUGCCCUGAAACACAGCUUAAAACAAAUGAACAGUAAUCCCAGAGAUCCUGAGAUGAGAAAAGGGUGUUUGACUUAUUCAAAGAAGACCAAGGAAGCCCAAAGACCAGAGAAGAGUGCAGGAAAGGGGCGGCGGUCUGAGAUGCAGUCAGAGCAGUGGCAAGCCCCCAGAGUCUGUGGCAAAGACUUCAGGUUUCAUCCUGAAGAGGAAGACAGGUCUUUGGAGAGUUUUGAUCAAGGAAGUGAGAUGAAAUAUCUUAGGCUUACAAAGAACUACUCUGACAUCUAAAUGGAAAAUGGACUGAUGAAGCAAAAGAAGCCACAAGGAAGCCAGUUCAGAGGCUAUUGAAAUGCUCCAGCUGAACAGAAUCCCGACAUAAGUUUGGGAUCAUGAACCCAUGACAUCAACAUAGUCAGGUUGAGUAUGAAGAACACUGUGCUGUGGUGACAGGGAGCCUGGUUUUUUCCUGGUUUUGGCAUUAGCUCUAUGUGUGACCUCAACCAAGUCACUCAAGCUGUUACAGUCUCUCUAUGUGGAUGAAAUGAAGGGGUUGAAAUAGCUACUCACUGUAGCUCUGAAUGGCUAUAAUUCUAUGAAACUAGAAAAGAAUAAAAUGUGUUUAUAGUCAUUCUCUGACCCUAUUUCUCCUUUUUUAAUAAACAAAACACAAUCCUAAAACACGUUUGUUUUUUCAAAGACAGUUUUUGCUUUAUUCACACUCCUUCCUCUGCUUUGUGGGAUGAUCUCAAUGAAUUUCUGAGGAACUGAGAAGACCAAUUUCCAAAUCAUCUGGAGUAAUUAAUUCCAGUGGUUGGAGUUAAUUAUGAU